Molecule: unclassified non-coding RNA, 267 nt
Filed under: Hevea brasiliensis (rubber tree)
Lineage: Eukaryota; Viridiplantae; Streptophyta; Magnoliopsida; Malpighiales; Euphorbiaceae
Source: RNAcentral
AAAUCAUCCAUAAAUAUCCAGAAUCCUUUAAGAUCGAUCUACAUCGAUGAACAUCCAAAAAACAAAUCUAAAAAUCGUCUGAGAAAUAGAUUUUAAGGUUAUCUUUUGUUUUCUGCUUCCGUUCUUCUUCGAGUCGUUGUUCGAGUUCAAAGUUGAAUCUUGACGUCAAAACCCUUGUUUGAUGCUCCACAAAAGGAUUGAUAUGGAUAGUGAUUUUUCCUGAAGAAUAUCCUUAAUCUAAAAAAUGCAUUAGCAAGUUCAAUAAUU